RNAcentral lists this ribosomal RNA (253 nucleotides) under uncultured bacterium. RNAcentral describes it as "partial 16S ribosomal RNA". It matches the Rfam family "Bacterial small subunit ribosomal RNA", at positions 524 to 776 of the family's 1533-position model. The record is from RNAcentral.
AACGUAGGGGGCCAGCGUUGCUCGGAAUUACUGGGCGUAAAGGGUCCGUAGGCGGUGUGGCAAGUCGGAAGUGAAAUCUCUGGGCUUAACCCAGAGGCUGCUCCCGAAACUGCCAUGCUAGAGUGCGAGAGAGGCGAGUGGAAUUGCGGGUGUAGCGGUGAAAUGCGUAGAUACCCGUAGGAACAUCCGAGGCGAAGGCGGCUCGCUGGAUCACAACUGACGCUGAGGGACGAAAGCUAGGGGAGCAAACAGG